Long non-coding RNA from Salvelinus namaycush (lake trout), 293 nucleotides. RefSeq lists it as uncharacterized. NCBI's taxonomy places the organism in Eukaryota, Metazoa, Chordata, Actinopteri, Salmoniformes, Salmonidae. The transcript is spliced from 3 exons. The record is from RefSeq and is a predicted model, not a curated record.
CUGAGAGGUUGUUCUGUCUAGGUUCUGAGAGGUUGUUCUGUCUAGGUUCUGAGAGGUUGCUCUGUCUAGGUUCUGAGAGGUUGUUCUGUCUAGGUUCUGAGAGGUUGUUCUGUCUAGGUUCUAGGUUCUGAGAGUUUCUUCUGUCUAGGUUCUGAGAGGUUGCUCUGUCUAGGUUCUGAGAGGUUGUUCUGUCUGGGUUCUGAGAGGUUGUUCUGUCUAGGUUCUGAGAGGUUGUUCUGUCUAGGUUCUGAGAGGUUGUUCUGUCUAGGUUCUGAGAGGUUGUUCUGUCUAGG